This 75-nucleotide transfer RNA is filed under the name Schistocerca americana (American grasshopper). RNAcentral describes it as "tRNA-Thr". It matches the Rfam family "tRNA". Rfam says of the family: Transfer RNA (tRNA) molecules are approximately 80 nucleotides in length. Their secondary structure includes four short double-helical elements and three loops (D, anti-codon, and T loops). The record is from RNAcentral. Lineage: Eukaryota; Metazoa; Arthropoda; Insecta; Orthoptera; Acrididae. RNAcentral also lists the same sequence under 1 other name.
GCCCUUGGUGGCUCAGGUGGAUAGAGCGUCUGCCAUGUAAGCAGAAGAUCCCGGGUUCGAGUCCCGGUCGGGGCA